GAUGCAUUUCUAACCAUUCGAUCACAUUUCAGAUGGAAUUUCAGUCGUUGGAUCGUGCAAAUCUCUCUGUAACAAAGUCGGGAACCACCACAGCCGUUGGAUCGAGCUCUAGAUUUGAUCUAGACUGUCGAUCAGCGCAAAAAGCCUUUCUUCCACUGUGGACCAUGCGUGUAGACUGUGAACUAUUCCUAUGGACCACG
This 200-nucleotide long non-coding RNA is filed under the name Elaeis guineensis (African oil palm). RNAcentral's name for it is "long non-coding RNA (EGUI_LNC050159)". Lineage: Eukaryota; Viridiplantae; Streptophyta; Magnoliopsida; Arecales; Arecaceae. The record is from RNAcentral.